ACAGCCUUAGUUUAUCUGGAGAACGAUAGUUUGUCGUACUAUGGGAGGGAGUUUCUUUCAGGCUGUG
RNAcentral lists this transfer RNA (67 nucleotides) under Paragonimus kellicotti. Its description in RNAcentral is "tRNA-Asp". It matches the Rfam family "tRNA". Rfam says of the family: Transfer RNA (tRNA) molecules are approximately 80 nucleotides in length. The record is from RNAcentral. Lineage: Eukaryota; Metazoa; Platyhelminthes; Trematoda; Plagiorchiida; Troglotrematidae.